AGCAGUGAAAUGCGUAGAGAUGUGGAGGAAUGCCGAUGGCGAAGGCAGCCUCCUGGGAUAAUACUGACGCUCAGGUGCGAAAGCAUGGGGAGCAAUCAGGAUUAGAUGUCCUGGUAGUCCUCACCGUAAACGAUGUCAAGUAGCUGUCGGGGCCGUUAGACCUUAGUAGCGCAGCUAACGCGUGAAGUUGACCGCGUGGGGAGUACGGUCGCAAGAUUAAAACUCAAAGGAAUGGGCGGGGCCCCACACAAGCGGUGGAUGAUGUGGAUUAAUUCGAUGCAACGCGAAAAACCUGACCUACGCAUGCCAUGUCCGGAAUUCUGAAGAGAUUUAGAAGUGCCCGCAAGGGAACCGGAACACAGGUGCUGCAUGGCAGUCGUCAGCUCGUGUCGUGAGAUGUUGGGUUAAGUCCCGCACCGAGCGCAACCCUUGUCACUAGCUGCUACGCAAGAGCACUCUAGUGAGACUGCCGGUGACAAACCGGAGGAAGGUGGGGAUGACGUCAAGUCCUCAUGGCCCUUAUGCGUAGGGCUUCACACGUCAUACAAUGGUCGGGACAGAGGGUCGCCAACCCGCGAGGGGGAGCUAAUCUCAUAAACCCGAUCGUAGUCCGGAUCGCAGUCUGCAACUCGACUGCGUGAAGUCGGAAUCGCUAGUAAUCGCGGAUCAGAAUGCCGCGGUGAAUACGUUCCCGGGUCUUGUACACACCGCCCGUCACACCAUGGAAGUGGGUUUCACCAGAAGUAGGUAGUCUAACCGUAAGGAGGACGCUACCAUCGG
This 780-nucleotide ribosomal RNA is filed under the name Alcaligenes faecalis. RNAcentral's name for it is "bacterial SSU rRNA". It matches the Rfam family "Bacterial small subunit ribosomal RNA", at positions 677 to 1462 of the family's 1533-position model. The record is from RNAcentral. Lineage: Bacteria; Pseudomonadati; Pseudomonadota; Betaproteobacteria; Burkholderiales; Alcaligenaceae.